GCUGGGCCUGGUGAUGCACGCCUAUAAUCCCAGCUGCUUGGGAGGCUCAGGCAGGAGAAUUGAGAGUUUAAAGCCAGCCUCAGCAAAAGCAAGAUGCUAAGCAACUCAGUGAGAUCCUGUCUCUA
This 125-nucleotide small RNA is filed under the name Marmota monax (woodchuck). The record is from RNAcentral. Lineage: Eukaryota; Metazoa; Chordata; Mammalia; Rodentia; Sciuridae.